ACGCUAGCUACAGGCUUAACACAUGCAAGUCGAGGGGAAACGGCAUUGAGUGCUUGCACUCUUUGGACGUCGACCGGCGCACGGGUGAGUAACGCGUAUCCAACCUUCCCAUUACUGUGGGAUAACCUGCCGAAAGGCAGACUAAUACCGCAUAGUCUUCGAUGACGGCAUCAGAUUUGAAGUAAAGAUUUAUCAGUAAUGGAUGGGGAUGCGUCUGAUUAGCUUGUUGGCAGGGUAACGGCACACCAAGGCAACGAUCAGUAGGGGUUCUGAGAGGAAGGUCCCCUACAUUGGAACUGAGACACGGUCCAAACUCCUACGGGAGGCAGCAGUGAGGAAUAUUGGUCAAUGGACGGAAGUCUGAACCAGCCAAGUAGCGUGCAGGAUGACGGCCCUAUGGGUUGUAAACUGCUUUUGUAUGGGGAUAAAGUUAGGGACGUGUCCCUAUUUGCAGGUACCAUACGAAUAAGGACCGGCUAAUUCCGUGCCAGCAGCCGCGGUAAUACGGAAGGUCCAGGCGUUAUCCGGAUUUAUUGGGUUUAAAGGGAGCGUAGGCUGGAGAUUAAGUGUGUUGUGAAAUAUAGACGCUCAACGUCUGAAUUGCAGCGCAUACUGGUUUCCUUGAGUACGCACAACGUUGGCGGAAUUCGUCGUGUAGCGGUGAAAUGCUUAGAUAUGACGAAGAACUCCGAUUGCGAAGGCAGCUGACGGGAGCGCAACUGACGCUUAAGCUCGAAGGUGCGGGUAUCAAACAGGAUUAGAUACCCUGGUAGUCCGCACAGUAAACGAUGGAUGCCCGCUGUUGGUACCUGGUAUCAGCGGCUAAGCGAAAGCAUUAAGCAUCCCACCUGGGGAGUACGCCGGCAACGGUGAAACUCAAAGGAAUUGACGGGGGCCCGCACAAGCGGAGGAACAUGUG
This 919-nucleotide ribosomal RNA is filed under the name uncultured bacterium. RNAcentral describes it as "bacterial SSU rRNA". It matches the Rfam family "Bacterial small subunit ribosomal RNA", at positions 33 to 943 of the family's 1533-position model. The record is from RNAcentral.